Puma concolor (puma) is the source of this 834-nucleotide non-coding RNA. The record is from RefSeq and is a predicted model, not a curated record. Lineage: Eukaryota; Metazoa; Chordata; Mammalia; Carnivora; Felidae.
GACUGGUAGCAGCAGCUGGUUUACAAGAACUUAGCUGAGUGGAAGGAGCGCGGGCUUAGCUAGGCAGCUUUGGGAUCCAGUCACAGCUCUUCUUCCACUUGUGAGAUGUGUGACCUUGGGCAAGUUGCUUAACCUUUCUGAGCCCUGGUUUCUCAUCUGGGAGAUCAGAUGAUUUGGACCUUCCAGCCCUGCAGCUCUGCCUUAGCAGGCAUCCCAGGACCCCGUCCCCACUGCUAGUAUGGCGAUUCCCCACACAGAGUUGGGUGCUCUGGAGAGGCGGCACAGUUCAAGGUGAGAUAGAACUUGUAUCCUCACCAUGGGCGUGACGGGCAGAGGGCAUUGAGUACCUCUGUUCACUCUAGUGGACGAUGACCAGGGAGAGGUGAGAUGACCUGUAAUGGUGGAGAGGAUGUUCCUUGGGAAAAAGGAAGGGGGUCAGCCUUGCUCUCCCUCUUCACCUCAAGAGACUGCUGGUAGGCUGAUGGCUGGUAACAUCUUAGACUCAAUUCUGGGAAGAAUUAGUGGAGUUUGGCCCAGGUCUCCCUCUGGCUCAGGUGUGAUGGAGAGCCCACCAAUGACAACCCUUGAGAGCAGUUUCCUGUAGGUCGUCAUGUCUGCCCUCUUUACUUUGGGGGCUGCCUGCAGCGAGGGAUUGAUGCAGGUCUCUUUUCUCCUUUGGUUCAGAGUUCUGCAGGCAUGCUCCUUGAAGGGAGAAAGGAAGCGGUUUUGUCCCUGGUACAACACGUCUUUAAAAAUGCACCUUGGGGCGCCUGGGUGGCGCAGUCGGUUGAGCGUCCGACUUCAGCCAGGUCACGAUCUCGCGGUCCGUGAGUU